AUUGAACGCUGGCGGCAUGCCUUACACAUGCAAGUCGAACGGUAACAGGUUAAGCUGACGAGUGGCGAACGGGUGAGUAAUAUAUCGGAACGUGCCCAGUAAUGGGGGAUAGCCCGGCGAAAGCCGGAUUAAUACCGCAUACGACCUACGGGUGAAAGCAGGGGAUCGCAAGACCUUGCGUUAUUGGAGCGGCCGAUAUCAGAUUAGCUUGUUGGUGGGGUAAAAGCCCACCAAGGCGACGAUCUGUAGCUGGUCUGAGAGGACGACCAGCCACACUGGGACUGAGACACGGCCCAGACUCCUACGGGAGGCAGCAGUGGGGAAUAUUGCACAAUGGGCGAAAGCCUGAUGCAGCGACGCCGCGUGAGGGAUGACGGCCUGGUGUAACUACUU
This 393-nucleotide ribosomal RNA is filed under the name uncultured bacterium. RNAcentral describes it as "bacterial SSU rRNA". It matches the Rfam family "Bacterial small subunit ribosomal RNA", at positions 30 to 435 of the family's 1533-position model. The record is from RNAcentral.